This 254-nucleotide ribosomal RNA is filed under the name uncultured bacterium. RNAcentral describes it as "partial 16S ribosomal RNA". It matches the Rfam family "Bacterial small subunit ribosomal RNA", at positions 524 to 776 of the family's 1533-position model. The record is from RNAcentral.
UACGGAGGGUGCGAGCGUUGUCCGGAAUCACUGGGCGUAAAGGGCGCGUAGGCGGCCCGCGCAAGCGUGCGGUGAAAGCCCGGGGCUCAACCCCGGGUCGGCCGUGCGGACUGCGGGGCUCGAGCACUGUAGGGGCAGAUGGAAUUCCGGGUGUAGCGGUGGAAUGCGUAGAGAUCCGGAAGAACACCGGUGGCGAAGGCAGCUCGCUGGGACGUGACUGACGCUGAGACGCGAAAGCGUGGGGAGCAAACAGG